RNAcentral lists this ribosomal RNA (301 nucleotides) under uncultured bacterium. RNAcentral's name for it is "partial 16S ribosomal RNA". It matches the Rfam family "Bacterial small subunit ribosomal RNA", at positions 509 to 807 of the family's 1533-position model. The record is from RNAcentral.
CAGCAGCCGCGGUAAUGCGUAGGGUACAAGCGUUAAUCGGAAUUACUGGGCGUAAAGCGCGCGCAGGUGGUUUAAUAAGUCUGAUGUGAAAGCCCACGGCUCAACCGUGGAGGGUCAUUGGAAACUGUUAAACUUGAGUGCAGGAGAGAAAAGUGGAAUUCCUAGUGUAGCGGUGAAAUGCGUAGAUAUAUGGAGGAAUACCGAUGGCGAAGGCAGCCCCCUGGGCCAAUACUGACGCCCAUGCACGAAAGCGUGGGGAGCAAACAGGAUUAGAUACCCCCGUAGUCCCUGUCUCUUAUAC